UAUCCUUCUCCGCCUUGGCUAGAUCAAGUGUUAGUAUCUUUCUAUCAAGUUUAAUAUCUGAACGUUCCCCCACGGGGACUAUUAGGGACUACAUAUUAAAUAUUUUUCUAACAGGAGUCGCGAAAUGGGCUUGCUCCUGCCGCUCCACGCAUCGACCCCGAAUUCAUACCUCCCGGGAACGGUUGCAACACCU
Molecule: small nuclear RNA, 193 nt
Filed under: Oncorhynchus tshawytscha (Chinook salmon)
Lineage: Eukaryota; Metazoa; Chordata; Actinopteri; Salmoniformes; Salmonidae
Description: U2 spliceosomal RNA
Rfam family: U2 spliceosomal RNA
About the family: U2 is a small nuclear RNA (snRNA) component of the spliceosome (involved in pre-mRNA splicing). Complementary binding between U2 snRNA (in an area lying towards the 5' end but 3' to hairpin I) and the branchpoint sequence (BPS) of the intron results the bulging out of an unpaired adenosine, on the BPS, which initiates a nucleophilic attack at the intronic 5' splice site, thus starting the first of two transesterification reactions that mediate splicing.
Source: Rfam by way of RNAcentral